This 314-nucleotide unclassified non-coding RNA is filed under the name Melitaea cinxia (Glanville fritillary). Its description in RNAcentral is "misc RNA ENSMCXG00005019076.1". The record is from RNAcentral. Lineage: Eukaryota; Metazoa; Arthropoda; Insecta; Lepidoptera; Nymphalidae.
UUUUAUGUAUGUUACAUCAGAACUUUUGCCCGUGUGGACCGAUUUCGACAAAUUUUGUUUUAAUCGAAAGCUGGUGUGUGUCAAUUGGUCCCAUUUAAAUUUAUUUGAGAUCUAACAACUACUUUUCGAGUUAUAUCUAUUAAUGCGUUUUUACUUGACGCUUUUUUCGUCGACCUACGUUGUAUUAUACCGCAUAACUUUCUACUGGAUGUACCGAUUUGAAUAAUUCUUUUUUUGUUGGAAAGGGGAUAUCUCUAGUUUAGUACCAUGAUAAAGAAACCAGGAUCUGAUGAUGAGAUCCCAGAGAAAUCGAG